UGUGAAACUCUUUGCCUCGUGAGUA
Molecule: non-coding RNA, 25 nt
Filed under: Mus musculus (house mouse)
Lineage: Eukaryota; Metazoa; Chordata; Mammalia; Rodentia; Muridae
Source: RNAcentral